Molecule: ribosomal RNA, 715 nt
Filed under: uncultured fungus
Lineage: Eukaryota; Fungi
Description: bacterial SSU rRNA
Rfam family: Eukaryotic small subunit ribosomal RNA
Source: RNAcentral
GGGCUUCUUUUGGNUCUUGUAAUGGAAUGAGGACAAUUUAAAUCCCUUAACGAGGAACAAUUGNAGGGCAAGUCUGGUGCCAGCAGCCGCGGUAAUUCCAGCUCUAAUAGCGUAUAUUAAAGUUGUUGCAGUUAAAACGCUCGUAGUUGAACUUCGGGAAAGGCCGCUGGAACGGAUUAACUUUCGAUUUCUAGUGCGCCCGUCCCCUACCUUCUGGAGAACCAAGGUGCCCCUUCACUGGGUGCCCUGGGGAACCAGGACUUUUACUUUGAGAAAAUUAGAGUGUUUAAGGCAGGCUUACGCUUGAAUACAUUAGCAUGGAAUAAUGGAAUAGGACUUUGGUUCUAUUUUGUUGGUUUCUAGGACCAAGGUAAUGAUUAAUAGGGACAGUUGGGGGCAUUAGUAUUGGGUUGUCAGAGGUGAAAUUCUUGGAUUGACCCAGGACUAACUACUGUGAAAGCAUUUGUCAAGGAUGUUUUCAUUAAUCAAGAACGAAAGUUAGCGGAUCGAAAACGAUUAGAUACCGUUGUAGUGCUAUUUACAGUAAACCAUGCCGACUAGGGAUCGGUGGAGUGAUAUUUCAAUUAGCUCCAUCGGCACCUUAUGAGAAAUCAAAGUUUUUGGGUUCCGGGGGGAGUAUGGUCGCAAGAUUGAAACUUAAAGGAAUUGACGGAAGGGCACCACCAGGAGUGGAGCCUGCGGCUUAAUUUGACUA